This 275-nucleotide small nuclear RNA is filed under the name Rattus norvegicus (Norway rat). Its description in RNAcentral is "7SK RNA". It matches the Rfam family "7SK RNA". From Rfam's summary of the family: 7SK was discovered as an abundant small nuclear RNA in the mid-70s but a possible function has only recently been suggested. Two independent studies have found that 7SK RNA binds the CDK9/cyclin T complex (known as elongation factor P-TEFb). The record is from Rfam by way of RNAcentral. Lineage: Eukaryota; Metazoa; Chordata; Mammalia; Rodentia; Muridae.
GGAUGUGAGGGUAAUAUGGCUGUGAUGUCUGCCACCCUGUUGACAGGGUUGAUUCAACUGAUCUAGCUAAGUAGGGAAGUGUCUCCUUGUUCCUUCAGUAUGGCAUAUGCACCCUUCAGAAGCUUCAGCCUAUAUCAUAGAGAGUGACAUUUGCCAAUGAGUACCUUUGUUCCUGUUGGAACUUCCAAAUAAGCACCAAAGGAAGUAGAGCCCCAUAGAGGUUCAUGGUGUAUGACUCAUUGGCUGGAGGGUGAAAAGCUGAUCUGCUUGAAAGC